Molecule: long non-coding RNA, 1432 nt
Filed under: Numida meleagris (helmeted guineafowl)
Lineage: Eukaryota; Metazoa; Chordata; Aves; Galliformes; Numididae
Description: lncRNA (ENSNMEG00000017862.1)
Source: RNAcentral
AGUUCAAAAUACUUCACUAUUAUUGACAAUCUGUGAUGUAUUUUGUAAGUUAUCUCUAAAUAUUUCAGACUCAAGUGCUUUCUAGAUCUAGAGAGUGGCACUGAAUGGUAGUUCAUGCUUCUUCUCAGCACUGAUAUCCAAAGAGGAAUAGACUUUCUUUUAAUUCAGAUCAAGUAAUAAAAAGGUCCUGGACUUUGCUGAAUGUUCUUGAGUGCACAUGACUGUGCCACUACUUGGUUUACUGCUGUGAAGUGCUCCGGUUUCAAAAGACCAAAUCCUUUCAUCAGAAGUUGUACUUUGAAAAUGCAGGAGACCAAGUAUUCAGAUAAACUGCUGAGCCAAACUGGUCAACCAGCUUCUGGGGAUGGAGGAGGCCUGAAAAUCCAGAGGACGAGUCAUAGAGCACAACUGGAAAAUGUGAGGGGAGUGUGAGUGCCUUGAAAAAAUCAGGCUGAACUCUUUGAAUCAGGAAUUCCUAUCAGUUUCAAAAGCCAGUGAGCAUAAGUGAGAGGCAGAAUCUCGGAUUUAACUGCUGACGUUUUCUUGGAGAAAGGCUGGGCUAAUCACCACAGGGAUGGUGUGCAAGUGGUGUUGAUGCUUUGAAGAACUUGCAGGGAUGAAGACUGAACAGAGAUGAUGCAAGCCUCAAAGGUCACAGCUGUGAAGUACCAACCUGAGUUAUAUAUAUGUUGAUCUAAUAUUGUCACAUGCUCUAUAGGUUGGCAAACUCUGAUGUGUUGCAUUCAGUAUGAAAAUCACACAUUCUUUGUGCCACUUCAAAAUGCACAUUUCUUAAUUUCUUAACUUACGCCACUUCUUUCACCAAAUCGCCUUGUUAUGUCUUUCUUUCACUUUUGAAAAGGCUGAUCUCUCCGACGUCACUCAGCCUAGAAAGCUUCAUCUAUUGUGGAAAACUGGAGGUCUGUUUAAUUGAUACAGCCAUUUCAUAGUAGCACUUCCUUAUCUGUUAAUCUCUUUUGCUGACAGUCUCUUUUAAGUACUUUAUUGGAUGAGGAUUCUUUCUGUUUCUGUGUAGCCUGGAAAUAUAUAUAAAGAAACCCUACCAUUUCAAAGUUUCCUACUCUAAAGAUGUACAUACAUCUAAUACUAUCUUCACUGUAUUGCAGUCAGUUUGCAAAGGCAGAGGACGUUUUGAUACCCUUCCUAGCUCUGUCGUAUGCUCUUUUCAUAAGAGAAAGACUGAGCUAAUGUAAGCCAGACACCUUCCCUGAUAUUAUUGUUCCCCUUUGAUUUGCGUUGAAUGCAAAGUUGUAACAAUAGCUGCUACAUUCACUAAUGGUAUUCUAAUCUGUGAAACCUAAUUAUGAAAACUUAAAACCUCCAACUCUAAAGACUUCAAAAAGAGUUACAAGUCACAGCUUACUUUUAAUUUGCAUUGUACUGAAAAAUAUCAUUAGCAUUCACAUGCUGC